UACGGGGGGGGCAAGCGUUGUUCGGAAUUACUGGGCGUAAAGGGCUCGUAGGUGGCUAACUAAGUCAGACGUGAAAUCCCUCAGCUUAACUGGGGAACUGCGUCUGAUACUGGAUGGCUUGAGUUUGGGAGAGGGAUGCGGAAUUCCAGGUGUAGCGGUGAAAUGCGUAGAUAUCUGGAGGAACACCGGUGGCGAAGGCGGCAUCCUGGACCAAUACUGACACUGAGGAGCGAAAGCCAGGGGAGCAAACGGG
Molecule: ribosomal RNA, 253 nt
Filed under: uncultured bacterium
Lineage: Bacteria
Description: partial 16S ribosomal RNA
Rfam family: Bacterial small subunit ribosomal RNA
Source: RNAcentral